This 2204-nucleotide ribosomal RNA is filed under the name Salmonella enterica. RNAcentral's name for it is "partial 23S ribosomal RNA". It matches the Rfam family "Bacterial large subunit ribosomal RNA", at positions 833 to 2925 of the family's 2925-position model. The record is from RNAcentral. Lineage: Bacteria; Pseudomonadati; Pseudomonadota; Gammaproteobacteria; Enterobacterales; Enterobacteriaceae.
UCAAACCGGGAGAUAGCUGGUUCUCCCCGAAAGCUAUUUAGGUAGCGCCUCGUGAAUUCAUCUCCGGGGGUAGAGCACUGUUUCGGCUAGGGGGCCAUCCCGGCUUACCAACCCGAUGCAAACUGCGAAUACCGGAGAAUGUUAUCACGGGAGACACACGGCGGGUGCUAACGUCCGUCGUGAAGAGGGAAACAACCCAGACCGCCAGCUAAGGUCCCAAAGUCAUGGUUAAGUGGGAAACGAUGUGGGAAGGCCCAGACAGCCAGGAUGUUGGCUUAGAAGCAGCCAUCAUUUAAAGAAAGCGUAAUAGCUCACUGGUCGAGUCGGCCUGCGCGGAAGAUGUAACGGGGCUAAACCAUGCACCGAAGCUGCGGCAGCGAACGUAUCACCCAAGACAACUUUACGGAGUUGACGAUUGACGGAGCGAAGCGACGUCAAAGCGUUCAUUAAAGUCGAGUUGGCUUAGGGAUACGUUCGUUGGGUAGGGGAGCGUUCUGUAAGCCUGUGAAGGUGUGUCGUGAGGCAUGCUGGAGGUAUCAGAAGUGCGAAUGCUGACAUAAGUAACGAUAAAGCGGGUGAAAAGCCCGCUCGCCGGAAGACCAAGGGUUCCUGUCCAACGUUAAUCGGGGCAGGGUGAGUCGACCCCUAAGGCGAGGCCGAAAGGCGUAGUCGAUGGGAAACGGGUUAAUAUUCCCGUACUUGGUGUUACUGCGAAGGGGGGACGGAGAAGGCUAUGUUGGCCGGGCGACGGUUGUCCCGGUUUAAGCGUGUAGGUGUGUGUUCCAGGUAAAUCCGGUUCACUUUAACACUGAGGCGUGACGACGAGGCACUACGGUGCUGAAGCAACAAAUGCCCUGCUUCCAGGAAAAGCCUCUAAGCAUCAGGUAACAUCAAAUCGUACCCCAAACCGACACAGGUGGUCAGGUAGAGAAUACCAAGGCGCUUGAGAGAACUCGGGUGAAGGAACUAGGCAAAAUGGUGCCGUAACUUCGGGAGAAGGCACGCUGACACGUAGGUGAAGUGAUUUACUCAUGGAGCUGAAGUCAGUCGAAGAUACCAGCUGGCUGCAACUGUUUAUUAAAAACACAGCACUGUGCAAACACGAAAGUGGACGUAUACGGUGUGACGCCUGCCCGGUGCCGGAAGGUUAAUUGAUGGGGUCAGCGCAAGCGAAGCUCCUGAUCGAAGCCCCGGUAAACGGCGGCCGUAACUAUAACGGUCCUAAGGUAGCGAAAUUCCUUGUCGGGUAAGUUCCGACCUGCACGAAUGGCGUAAUGAUGGCCAGGCUGUCUCCACCCGAGACUCAGUGAAAUUGAACUCGCUGUGAAGAUGCAGUGUACCCGCGGCAAGACGGAAAGACCCCGUGAACCUUUACUAUAGCUUGACACUGAACAUUGAGCCUUGAUGUGUAGGAUAGGUGGGAGGCUUUGAAGUGUGGACGCCAGUCUGCAUGGAGCCGACCUUGAAAUACCACCCUUUAAUGUUUGAUGUUCUAACGUGGACCCGUAAUCCGGGUUGCGGACAGUGUCUGGUGGGUAGUUUGACUGGGGCGGUCUCCUCCUAAAGAGUAACGGAGGAGCACGAAGGUUGGCUAAUCCUGGUCGGACAUCAGGAGGUUAGUGCAAUGGCAUAAGCCAGCUUGACUGCGAGCGUGACGGCGCGAGCAGGUGCGAAAGCAGGUCAUAGUGAUCCGGUGGUUCUGAAUGGAAGGGCCAUCGCUCAACGGAUAAAAGGUACUCCGGGGAUAACAGGCUGAUACCGCCCAAGAGUUCAUAUCGACGGCGGUGUUUGGCACCUCGAUGUCGGCUCAUCACAUCCUGGGGCUGAAGUAGGUCCCAAGGGUAUGGCUGUUCGCCAUUUAAAGUGGUACGCGAGCUGGGUUUAGAACGUCGUGAGACAGUUCGGUCCCUAUCUGCCGUGGGCGCUGGAGAACUGAGGGGGGCUGCUCCUAGUACGAGAGGACCGGAGUGGACGCAUCACUGGUGUUCGGGUUGUCAUGCCAAUGGCACUGCCCGGUAGCUAAAUGCGGAAGAGAUAAGUGCUGAAAGCAUCUAAGCACGAAACUUGCCCCGAGAUGAGUUCUCCCUGAGACUUAGAGUCUCCUGAAGGAACGUUGAAGACGACGACGUUGAUAGGCCGGGUGUGUAAGCGCAGCGAUGCGUUGAGCUAACCGGUACUAAUGAACCGUGAGGCUUAACCUUACA